AUUGAACGCUGGCGGCAGGCCUAACACAUGCAAGUCGAGCGGCAGCACGGGAAGCUUGCUUCCUGGUGGCGAGCGGCGGACGGGUGAGUAAUGCAUAGAAAUCUGCCCGGUAGUGGGGGAUAACCUGGGGAAACCCAGGCUAAUACCGCAUACGUCCUACGGGAGAAAGCAGGGGAUCUUCGGACCUUGCGCUAUCGGAUGAGUCUAUGUCGGAUUAGCUUGUUGGUGAGGUAAUGGCUCACCAAGGCGACGAUCCGUAGCUGGUCUGAGAGGAUGAUCAGCCACAUCGGGACUGAGACACGGCCCGAACUCCUACGGGAGGCGGCAGUGGGGAAUAUUGGACAAUGGGCGAAAGCCUGAUCCAGCCAUGCCGCGUGUGUGAAGAAGGCCUUCGGGUUGUAAAGCACUUUCAGUGGGGAAGAAAGCCUUGGGGCUAAUACCCUCGAGGAAGGACAUCACCCACAGAAGAAGCACCGGCUAACUCCGUGCCAGCAGCCGCGGUAAUACGGAGGGUGCGAGCGUUAAUCGGAAUUACUGGGCGUAAAGCGCGCGUAGGCGGUCUGAUAAGCCGGUUGUGAAAGCCCCGGGCUCAACCUGGGAACGGCAUCCGGAACUGUCAGGCUAGAGUGCAGGAGAGGAAGGUAGAAUUCCCGGUGUAGCGGUGAAAUGCGUAGAGAUCGGGAGGAAUACCAGUGGCGAAGGCGGCCUUCUGGACUGACACUGACGCUGAGGUGCGAAAGCGUGGGUAGCAAACA
This 755-nucleotide ribosomal RNA is filed under the name uncultured Halomonas sp. RNAcentral's name for it is "bacterial SSU rRNA". It matches the Rfam family "Bacterial small subunit ribosomal RNA", at positions 28 to 774 of the family's 1533-position model. The record is from RNAcentral. Lineage: Bacteria; Pseudomonadati; Pseudomonadota; Gammaproteobacteria; Oceanospirillales; Halomonadaceae.